Molecule: ribosomal RNA, 484 nt
Filed under: uncultured bacterium
Lineage: Bacteria
Description: partial 16S ribosomal RNA
Rfam family: Bacterial small subunit ribosomal RNA
Source: RNAcentral
AUUGAACGCUGGCGGCAGGCCUAACACAUGCAAGUCGAGCGGAUGAAGGGAGCUUGCUCCUGGAUUCAGCGGCGGACGGGUGAGUAAUGCCUAGGAAUCUGCCUGGUAGUGGGGGAUAACGUCCGGAAACGGGCGCUAAUACCGCAUACGUCCUGAGGGAGAAAGUGGGGGAUCUUCGGACCUCACGCUCUCAGAUGAGCCUAGGUCGGAUCAGCUAGUUGGUGGGGUAAAGGCCUACCAAGGCGACGAUCCGUAACUGGUCUGAGAGGAUGAUCAGUCACACUGGAACUGAGACACGGUCCAGACUCCUACGGGAGGCAGCAGUGGGGAAUAUUGGACAAUGGGCGAAAGCAUGAUCCAGCCAUGCCGCGUGUGUGAAGAAGGUCUUCGGAUUGUAAAGCACGUUAAGUUGGGAGGAAGGGCAGUAAGUUAAUACCUUGCUGUUUUGACGUUACCAACAGAAUAAGCACCGGUUAACUUCGUG